CGGCGCGCCCUCCACCUCCACCUCUGCGUCCGGCCCGCCGCCCCUCCACCUCCACGUCCGGCCCGCCGCCCCUCCACCUCCACGUCCAGGCGCCGCCGCCUCUUCUCCUCGGCCGCUCCAUCCUCGUCGUUCGCCCCCCACCCCUCCGGAAACCCCUCCGCCGCCGCCGGCGGCCAUCGCCACUUCUGCCCGUCCCGCAGGCCCUCCUCCAUCUCCUCCGCAUCACCCCUCCCCAGUCCUCCUUUUCCACACGGGCUCACCCAUUCAUCUUCUUGCUAGAUUUGUGGCGGAUCGAGCAGGCCGCCCUUCCCGCCGGCCUCCCUUCUCGUCGGCCGUCCUCACCGAUGGCCCUCCACCCCCGUCGGCGCCUCUCCCGCAGAAGAUGUCUACCAACCAGAGGCUUCUUGAAGGAGUCGACUAGCUUUGUAUCUAUGCCUACUAUCGUCAGAGUGUAUAGUAUUUUAGCUGGCUUCUAAAUUUGUAGCACACAUAAAACUGUCCUUUCUAAAUUAUGUCUCUUGCAUCAGCUGAAUGAAUGUUGUUCUACCAUUUGUAUCGGCUGAAACUUGGUACUUUCUCAUAGAUUGAUUUGUCUAAAUUUCUAGAAAAUAUAUAUCAUGUACUUACUAUGUGAUGGCCUGUUGACUUAGUGAUAGAUUUUUCUUGUUUAUCAGCUGAUGCUCAUGAAUAUUGUGAUGCUCAUGAAUAUUGUGAUGGCCUGCUCAUGUAAAAAAGUGAUGCUAUUAACUUAGAAUUACUACUAUAUGUCAUGUAUAUGUAAGAUCAAGCUAUGUUUCUAUUUUCCAACGUCUAAAGCUAUUGCACUAUAAAUUGGCUAAGUGAGAGACUAGGCAGCACUGCAUUCUAGCUAAAAUACAAGCACGCGACACACAUACAAAACACACAACAGUACCCUGUACCCAUCAGGAACUCCAGUCAAGCUUCUUCCAUUCCAGGCCUUGAGAAGCACCAGCAAGCCAAGGUAGCUCUUGAGUCAGUUUUUCUAGUCCUCCAAGUUUUCCUGAAGUUAGGAAGCACAAUGCAACAUUGGUGUUUAUCCGCGGAGCUUCAAUCUAGUAAUUGCAGAUGCUUGUAGCAAGGAACAGCUAUGGGAGUAUUAAAAAAACAGAAUGACAUGGCGGGGAGGAGAUGAAAGGUGAUUGGUACUGAUCAGCUGGGUACAAGUACCCAGAAAAGUAAUAGUUGCAUAUCUGUUAGUUUUAGGGAGAUUCAGUGGAGUAUGGUGGCUCAAGUAUAAUGCAGCUACUGGCAAACCUUUUUUUUUUCUUUCUGAUUCUUUUUCUUGUUUUGAGAAUGUAACUGUAAACUCUGGAGUAUAUGACAUUGAAGUUUGGUC
Molecule: long non-coding RNA, 1357 nt
Organism: Panicum virgatum (switchgrass)
Lineage: Eukaryota; Viridiplantae; Streptophyta; Magnoliopsida; Poales; Poaceae
Exons: 3
Source: RefSeq, a predicted model, not a curated record